CUGGUCUGGUUUGAGGGGGAUCAGUAUGCUGUCGGACUCACAUCUAUCCAAGUGAAGCAUUUUGACCGAUUUCAAGUCUUCACCUCAAGCACAGGAGCCCUACACCAAACGAAUGCUGGAGAGGUUAUCCAGGUAUUUUGUUUUUGUUCUCAUCCCUCUGCUAUAUGUGAUUAUUAUGUGCAUAAUAGCGUUUAAAAGGUAAAACUCACGGCCAUCAUGUCAUGUAAUGUAGCAUGUUCCAGUGCCAAAUGAACAGGGAGGCCUGCACUCUCUACUUCAAAGCAAAGCAGCAGUGUUAAGUUACCUGAGGAACACAGGAUCAUUUCAAGUCCAGGAGACUGCUUGUCAAAGUUUGUGUCAGUCACUUGGAGAAGGGUGAAUUGUAAGUAUAUAAAUUCAAAAACAUAUUCGACCACUCUGAAUUUUACUCAGUGGUGUUUGCCCUGUCAGAUAAGUGUUUUAAUAUUGUACAUGCUCUGUUUUCAGUUAACUUUAUCCAUCAAGUGCUGAAAAGCUUGUUUUUGUCACUACUUUCACAUCUUUGCCGGGUCGGAUUAAAGGAAAAGGAGAUGGAUUUGUAAGUAAUAUGUAAUUAAUGUCAAAAACAGCCAAAUGUGUUUUUUUUUGUUUUGCACACUGGGUAGGAACAUUAAUAUCGCAAGCUAUUUAUUCUACUUUUCGAAACCAUGCUUAAGGAAGAUUUAAAAGAACAUUACCUCCUCACACUUAGUCCAGUUAAAGAACAUCCUGUAAUUCCUAUCUGUUCUCUUACCCGAAUUUUGCUCAGCUUUCGCUGAAUCUUCUGUUGGACUUUAUCAGCCCAGUAUUUCUCAUGGAGGAAGUCCCAAAAGAUCCGACCAAUUAGUGCAUUCAGCCAGUCAGGUUUUGUUUCAUCCUCAUGACAACAAAAGGUCUGUUCCAAAAGGGGUGAUGGAAGAAAAACUUUGGAGUAAUGAAGAUACAUUGUCAUUUUCUGCAAUGGGGGGGUAAGCUGUGUCACUUAAAUUGUCCUCUAAACAAGGAGAAAUGUAAACAUUUUGGUUGUUGCAUUCCUUGACUGUUGUCAGUUG
Long non-coding RNA from Sinocyclocheilus grahami, 1070 nucleotides. Lineage: Eukaryota; Metazoa; Chordata; Actinopteri; Cypriniformes; Cyprinidae. The record is from Ensembl.